ACAUCCAGCGAACUUGGCAGAGAUGCCUUGGUGCCUUCGGGAACGCUGAGACAGGUGCUGCAUGGCUGUCGUCAGCUCGUGUUGUGAAAUGUUGGGUUAAGUCCCGNAACGAGCGCAACCCUUAUCCUUUGUUGCCAGCGAUUCGGUCGGGAACUCAAAGGAGACUGCCGGUGAUAAACCGGAGGAAGGUGGGGAUGACGUCAAGUCAUCAUGGCCCUUACGAGUAGGGCUACACACGUGCUACAAUGGCGCAUAUAAAGAGAAGCGACCUCGCGAGAGCAAGCGGACCUCAUAAAGUGCGUCGUAGUCCGGAUCGGAGUCUGCAACUCGACUCCGUGAAGUCGGAAUCGCUAGUAAUCGUGGAUCAGAAUGCCACGGUGAAUACGUUCCCGGGCCUUGUACACACCGCCCGUCACACCAUGGGAGUGGGUUGCAAAAGAAGUAGGUAGCUUAACCCUCGGGAGGGCGCUUACCACUUUGUGAUUCAUGACUGGGGUGAAGUCGUAACAAGGUAGGCGUAGCGAG
This 525-nucleotide ribosomal RNA is filed under the name uncultured bacterium. RNAcentral's name for it is "bacterial SSU rRNA". It matches the Rfam family "Bacterial small subunit ribosomal RNA", at positions 984 to 1509 of the family's 1533-position model. The record is from RNAcentral.